Molecule: ribosomal RNA, 257 nt
Filed under: Bacillus cereus
Lineage: Bacteria; Bacillati; Bacillota; Bacilli; Caryophanales; Bacillaceae
Description: partial 16S ribosomal RNA
Rfam family: Bacterial small subunit ribosomal RNA
Source: RNAcentral
CAUAUCAUGCAGUCGAGCGAUGGAUUAGAGCUUGCUCUUAUGAAGUUAGCGGCGGACGGGUGAGUAACACGUGGGUAACCUGCCCAUAAGACUGGGAUAACUCCGGGAAACCGGGGCUAAUACCGGAUAACAUUUUGAACCGCAUGGUUCGAAAUUGAAAGGCGGCUUCGGCUGUCACUUAUGGAUGGACCCGCGUCGCAUUAGCUAGUUGGUGAGGUAACGGCUCACCAAGGCAACGAUGCGUAGCCGACCUGAAA